AAAUUGAAGAGUUUGAUCAUGGCUCAGAUUGAACGCUGGCGGCAGGCCUAACACAUGCAAGUCGAACGGUAACAGGAAACAGCUUGCUGUUUCGCUGACGAGUGGCGGACGGGUGAGUAAUGUCUGGGAAACUGCCUGAUGGAGGGGGAUAACUACUGGAAACGGUAGCUAAUACCGCAUAACGUCGCAAGACCAAAGAGGGGGACCUUAGGGCCUCUUGCCAUCGGAUGUGCCCAGAUGGGAUUAGCUAGUAGGUGGG
Molecule: ribosomal RNA, 259 nt
Filed under: Escherichia coli
Lineage: Bacteria; Pseudomonadati; Pseudomonadota; Gammaproteobacteria; Enterobacterales; Enterobacteriaceae
Description: partial 16S ribosomal RNA
Rfam family: Bacterial small subunit ribosomal RNA
Source: RNAcentral